This 720-nucleotide ribosomal RNA is filed under the name Actinomadura sp. 10-44. Its description in RNAcentral is "bacterial SSU rRNA". It matches the Rfam family "Bacterial small subunit ribosomal RNA", at positions 64 to 800 of the family's 1533-position model. The record is from RNAcentral. Lineage: Bacteria; Bacillati; Actinomycetota; Actinomycetes; Streptosporangiales; Thermomonosporaceae.
GAGCGGAAGGCCCCUUCGGGGGUACUCGAGCGGCGAACGGGUGAGUAACACGUGAGCAACCUGCCCCUGACUCUGGGAUAAGCCCGGGAAACUGGGUCUAAUACCGGAUAUGACCACUCCAGGCAUCUGGUGGUGGUGGAAAGUUUUUCGGUUGGGGAUGGGCUCGCGGCCUAUCAGCUUGUUGGUGGGGUGAUGGCCUACCAAGGCGACGACGGGUAACCGGCCUGAGAGGGCGACCGGUCACACUGGGACUGAGACACGGCCCAGACUCCUACGGGAGGCAGCAGUGGGGAAUAUUGCGCAAUGGGCGGAAGCCUGACGCAGCGACGCCGCGUGGGGGAUGACGGCCUUCGGGUUGUAAACCCCUUUCAGCAGGGACGAAGCUAACGUGACGGUACCUGCAGAAGAAGCGCCGGCUAACUACGUGCCAGCAGCCGCGGUAAUACGUAGGGCGCAAGCGUUGUCCGGAAUUAUUGGGCGUAAAGAGCUCGUAGGCGGUUUGUCGCGUCUGUCGUGAAAGCCCACGGCUUAACCGUGGGUCUGCGGUGGAUACGGGCAGACUAGAGGCAGGUAGGGGAGAAUGGAAUUCCCGGUGUAGCGGUGAAAUGCGCAGAUAUCGGGAGGAACACCGGUGGCGAAGGCGGUUCUCUGGGCCUGUACUGACGCUGAGGAGCGAAAGCGUGGGGAGCGAACAGGAUUAGAUACCCUGGUAGUCCACGC